This 190-nucleotide unclassified non-coding RNA is filed under the name uncultured Auriculariales. RNAcentral describes it as "sequence contains ITS2". Lineage: Eukaryota; Fungi; Basidiomycota; Agaricomycetes; Auriculariales. The record is from RNAcentral.
UAACCCUCAUCAUUAGGAUGUCAAAGUCUUAAUGGUGGAUUUGGAUUGUGCCGUAGUUGGCUCAUCCUGAAAUACAUUAGCUUGCACUUUUUAGGGUGCUUGGCAUGGUGUGAUAAUUAUCUGCGCCGUCGCCUUAUGCCUCUUCUAUGUGUGCUGCUUACAGUCGUCCAUUUGGACAAUAACUUAAGCU